GUUUAUUCCAAGAGCAACUAUGUGUUGUAGGUUCAUUGGUUCAUUACUCGAGGCUUUGAUCAACACAGUGUACACUAGUGGAACCUGCUGGUCAAAAUAAUUUAGAGCAGCCAAAUUAGUAUAGUCCCACAACGUAGACUUGUGUCUUCUACCAAACCAAUGGUCCAUCACAGUGCACAUGUCAUAAUACCCAUAAAACUUAGUGGUAAACCCCAAUAACGGUUCCAAUCAUUUUUUUACCCAUUUAUCUAUUUACUGUUGAGUGUCACAGUAUGAAUAAUAAAACCCGGAAAUGGUUCCAAUUGUUCCAUCUGGGAUUUUAGAACUACUUACAUUUUAGUCAUUUAGCAGAUGCUCUUAUCCAGAGCGACUUACAGUAGUGAAUGCAUACAUUUCAUACAUUUUUUAUUUUUUUUCUGUGCUGGCCCCCCGUGGGAAUCGAACCCACAACCCUGGCAUUGCAAACACCAUGCUCUACCAACUGAGCUACAGGGAAGGCUACUUCAUAUAAGGUCUGUGUUUCAUGUAGGAUUACCCUGGCAUGACGUUUUGAUAACCAUGUAGUUCUCUUUCGGACAUGGUUUUCUCAGCAUGUGACUUGUUUCAGGAAACUAGGCGUAUGUUAUGCGUCACUACUUCACAGGAGAGAAAUUUGAACGUAAACAUAUUUUUUUUAUCAAAAUGCAGAAAGGCUUUCUGGAACAUGUGAACGUUCAUGUGCCUUAAAAACAAGUGUCUCUUCCAUCUGUAAAUACAAGUACAAUUGUUAAAUGACAAUCCUAGUGUCACGCUCUGACCUAGGAGAGCUGUUCACACCCUGACCUAACCAAAUAGAGAAUAAAACAGACUCUCUAAGGUCAGGGCAUGACAUGCUGACUACAAAUUAUCUAUAACUUGGCUAAUAACUCACUAACUAGCAAAGGAUAUUAACAAUUGUUCAAACGUGGCUACAUGGAUCUAUCGCUUUGAUCUUAAACAAGCGCAUCUACUCACGACCGAUCAUGCUGUAAACACAGUCCAGUUCAAAGUAAAUGGUACAGAUCCAUAUACUGUAUGGCAAUGGUCUAUUUGCAUAUAGGCCUACUGCAGCUCUGAUUGGUUAUGCCGUUGUCACGUCCUGGCCAGUAUAAGGGUUAAUUGUCAUUGUAGUUUGGUCAGGACGUGGCAGAGGGUAUUUGUUUUAUGUGGUUCGGGGUGGUGUUUUGGUAAAAGGGUGUUUGAUUUAGUAUUUCCGGGUUUUUGGUUUAUGGUCUAUGUUUAUAUAUUUCUAUGUGGAGUCUAGUGAGUGUGUUUCUAUGGUUGAUUAAUUGGGGUUGGGACUCUCAAUUGAAGGCAGGUGUUUUCUCUUUGCCUUUGAUUGAGAGUCCCAUAUAUUAGGGUGUGUUUGUCAUUUGUGGGAGAUUGUUCUGUGUUUAGCCUUGUGCCUUGCCAGACUGUUUUGUUGAUCGUUCGUUCUUUUGUUAUUUUGGUGUUCAUUUUUGGAAUUUAUUAAAACGUCAAGAUGAGCAUACACAUACCUGCUGCGUUUUGGUCUCAUCACUACGACAACCGUGACAGCCGUGCCGGAAUGUAUAUAGUAUGG
Molecule: long non-coding RNA, 1582 nt
Filed under: Salmo salar (Atlantic salmon)
Lineage: Eukaryota; Metazoa; Chordata; Actinopteri; Salmoniformes; Salmonidae
Description: lncRNA (ENSSSAG00000116670.1)
Source: RNAcentral